AUACUACACAUGUCGUGUGGGUGAGAUCCUGCGUUCAGGUUCGAGCCGAGCGAAGCGAGACAGCAACGCGUC
RNAcentral lists this small RNA (72 nucleotides) under Yersinia pestis. RNAcentral describes it as "partial RtT sRNA". It matches the Rfam family "RtT RNA", at positions 1 to 74 of the family's 130-position model. From Rfam's summary of the family: This family represents a bacterial cis-regulatory element known as RtT RNA. The exact function of RtT is unknown although it is thought that it may be involved in changing the cellular response in relation to amino acid starvation. Lineage: Bacteria; Pseudomonadati; Pseudomonadota; Gammaproteobacteria; Enterobacterales; Yersiniaceae. The record is from RNAcentral.